UGCAGUCGAGCGGAUCUUGUCCUUCGGGACAAGAUUAGCGGCGGACGGGUGAGUAACACGUAGGCAACCUGCCCUCAAGACUGGGAUAACCUCCGGAAACGGAUGCUAAUACCGGAUAUGCGGUUUCUCCUCCUGGAGAGAUCGGGAAAGACGGAGCAAUCUGUCGCUUGGGGAUGGGCCUGCGGCGCAUUAGCUAGUUGGUGAGGUAACGGCUCACCAAGGCGACGAUGCGUAGCCGACCUGAGAGGGUGAUCGGCCACACUGGGACUGAGACACGGCCCAGACUCCUACGGGAGGCAGCAGUAGGGAAUCUUCCGCAAUGGACGCAAGUCUGACGGAGCAACGCCGCGUGAGUGAGGAAGGCCUUCGGGUCGUAAAGCUCUGUUGCCAGGGAAGAACGGGUGGAAGAGUAACUGCUUCCGCCAUGACGGUACCUGAGAAGAAAGCCCCGGCUAACUACGUGCCAGAG
Molecule: ribosomal RNA, 469 nt
Filed under: Paenibacillus sp. MH3
Lineage: Bacteria; Bacillati; Bacillota; Bacilli; Caryophanales; Paenibacillaceae
Description: bacterial SSU rRNA
Rfam family: Bacterial small subunit ribosomal RNA
Source: RNAcentral